AACGAACGCUGGCGGCAUGCCUAACACAUGCAAGUCGAACGAGACCUUCGGGUCUAGUGGCGCACGGGUGCGUAACGCGUGGGAAUCUGCCCUUCGGUUCGGAAUAACUCAGGGAAACUUGAGCUAAUACCGGAUGAUGUCUUCGGACCAAAGAUUUAUCGCCGAGGGACGAGCCCGCGUAGGAUUAGGUAGUUGGUGGGGUAAUGGCCCACCAAGCCGACGAUCCUUAGCUGGUCUGGGAGGAUGAUCAGCCACACUGGGACUGGGACACGGCCCAGACUCCUACGGGAGGCAGCAGUGGGGAAUAUUGGACAAUGGGCGAAAGCCUGAUCCAGCAAUGCCGCGUGAGUGAUGAAGGCCUUAGGGUUGUAAAGCUCUUUUACCAGGGAUGAUAAUGACAGUACCUGGAGAAUAAGCUCCGGCUAACUCCGUGCCAGCAGCCGCGGUAA
This 449-nucleotide ribosomal RNA is filed under the name uncultured bacterium. RNAcentral's name for it is "partial 16S ribosomal RNA". It matches the Rfam family "Bacterial small subunit ribosomal RNA", at positions 29 to 523 of the family's 1533-position model. The record is from RNAcentral.